GAUGAACGCUAGCGGCAGGCCUAAUACAUGCAAGUCGAACGGUAGAUCGGGUAGCAAUACUUGAUUGAGAGUGACGUAAGGGUGCGUAACACGUAUGCAAUCUACCCUCAACAGGAGUAUAGCUCGGGGAAACUCGGAUUAACACUCCAUAACAUUACGAUGUGGCAUCACAUUGUGAUUAAAACUCCGGUGGUUGAGGAUGAGCAUGCGUCUGAUUAGUUAGUUGGAGGUGUAACGGACCCCCAAGACGAUGAUCAGUAGGGGAACGUANAGAGGUUGAUCCCCCACCACUGGCACUGAGAUACGGGCCGAGACU
RNAcentral lists this ribosomal RNA (316 nucleotides) under uncultured bacterium. Its description in RNAcentral is "bacterial SSU rRNA". It matches the Rfam family "Bacterial small subunit ribosomal RNA", at positions 28 to 337 of the family's 1533-position model. The record is from RNAcentral.